RNAcentral lists this ribosomal RNA (407 nucleotides) under uncultured bacterium. Its description in RNAcentral is "partial 16S ribosomal RNA". It matches the Rfam family "Bacterial small subunit ribosomal RNA", at positions 30 to 526 of the family's 1533-position model. The record is from RNAcentral.
AUUGAACGCUGGCGGCAGGCCUAACACAUGCAAGUCGAGCGGAGCGGCGGACGGGUGAGUAAUGCCUAGGAAUCUGCCUGGUAGUGGGGGAUAACGUCCGGAAACGGGCGCUAAUACCGCAUACUAGCAGAUGAGCCUAGGUCGGAUUAGCUAGUUGGUGGGGAAAAGUCCCACCAAGGCGACGAGCCGUAACUGGUCGGAGAGGAGAAUCAGUCACACUGGAACUGAGACCCGGUCCUGACUCCUACGGAAGGCAGCAGUGGUGAAUAUUGGACAAUGGGCGAAAGCCUGAUCCAGCCAGGCCGCGUGUGUGAAGAAGGGCUUCGGAUUGUAAAGCACUUUAAGUUGGGAGGCGUUACCAACAGAAUAAGCACCGGCUAACUUCGUGCCAGCAGCCGCGGUAAUAC